CCAGAUCUCACCACUGCACUCCAGCCUGGGCGACAGAGCGACACUCCAUCUCAAAGAGCCCCUUAAAUUUGUGUCCUUUUCAUUUUCUACUUCUGGAGCACCAAAUUUUUGAGACUGUCACAUAACUAUAAAUGCAAUAGUUUCUGUUCCAGAAUCCUGGGUCCCAUACCCUAGGACUUUACCAUACUUACCUAAUAUGGGCACAGCCCUGACUAACUACAGUAACUUUAUUACCUAGGAAUUGCAUUUGUCUGCGUGUAGCGGUCUCCUGAAAAAAGUGGUUUAAACACACAAGGAUCUAUUAUCUUACGGAAUAAAUUUUGAGUGUGCUGGACCAGUCAAAGAAUCGUGCGUCAAAACCGAGAAAACGAACAAGACUUCAUCGCCAUGGCACAUUUAUAUAAAAAGAAAGGGAGAGAUGUUGUGGGAAGUCAGGGACCCCGAAAGGAGGGACCGGCUAGAGCCGCAGCAGAGGAACAUAAAUGGUGAAGAUUUCAUGGAUAUUUAUCAGUUCCCAAAUAAUACUGUUGUGAUUUCUUAUGCCUGUCUUUACUUUAAUCUCUUAAUCCUGUUAUCUUCGUAAGCUGAGGAUGUACGUCACCUCAGGACCACUGUGAUAAUUGUGUUAACUGUACAAAUUGAUUGUAAAACAUGUGUUUGAACAAUAUGAAAUCAGUGCACCUUGAAAAAGAAUAGAAUAACAGCGAUUUUUGGGGAACAAGGGAAGACAACCAUAAGGUCUGACUGCCUGUGGGGUCAGGCGAACAGAGCCAUAUUUUUCUUCUUGCAGAGAGCCUAUAAACGGAUGUGCAAGUAAGAGAGAUAUCACUAAAUUCUUUUCCUAGCAAGGAAUAUUAAUAUUAAUACCCUGGGAAAGGAAUGCAUUCCUGGGGGGAGGUCUAUAAACAACUGCUCUGGGAAUGUCUGUCUUAUGCAGUUGAGAUAAGGACUGAGAUACACCCUGGUCUCCUGCAGUACCCUCAGGCUUACUAGGGUGGGGAAAAACUCUGCCCUGGUAAAUUUGUGGUCAGACUGGUUGUCUGCUCUUGAACCCUGUUUUCUGUUGUUUAAGAUGUUUAUCAAGACAAUAUGUGCACCAGUGAACAUAGACCCUUAUCAUUAGUUCUGCUUUUGCCCUUUGCCUUGUGAUCUUUGUUGGACCCUUAUCAGUAGUUCUGCUUUUUCCCUUUGUCCUGUUCCCUCAGAAGCAUGUCAUCUUUGUUAGACCCUUAUUAGUAGUUCUGCUUUUUGCCUUUUGAAGCAUGUGAUCUUUGUACCUACUCCCUGUUUUACACCCCCUCCCCUUUUGAAACCCUUAAUAAAAACUUGCUGGUUUGAGGCUCAGGUGGGCAUCACGGUCCUACUGAUAUGUCACGUCACCCCUGGCGGCCCAGCUGUAAAAUUCCUCUCUUUGUACUCUUUCUCUUUAUUUCUCAGCCGGCUGAAACUUAUGGAAAAUAGAAACAGCCUAUGUUGAAAUAUUGGGGGUGGGUUUCCCUGAUAAUUUGUCCCCAAGUGACACCCUGUGAGCCAGCCCUGGGUGGUACAAGGACUCCUGUGGGAGCCACAGGAGCAGGUGCAGCCCCAGGCUGCUGGUGCUCUCAGAACUGCACAAACACUGCUUUCUGAGAAACCAGUACAAGUACUUUCUAGUGAGCGGGGAGGGCAUCUCCCAAACCGGCUAUGACCUAGUCACCUGAGGUGCCUAAAAGUCUCUCUCAUCUGUGCCUCACUCCAGCUUUGGAAGUGGGACCUCCUUGUCUAAGCCACUCUUCCGGAGUGAGCUGCACAGCCCAAGGGACAGAUUUCACACCAGCACCUUAUGCUAGCCCAGAGAGACAGAUGUCACUCACUGCAACACAGCAGAGGUGCAGACUAAGUGGCAGCCAGGGGCCAUGAGAGGGAACAUGGUGGAGGGGGACAAACAGGGCCCUCCUGGCCAGUGAGCCCUGGGCUUGGAUCCAGUUAAAUCACCUCUGAGCCUUAAUUUCCUCACUCACA
This 2001-nucleotide long non-coding RNA is filed under the name Homo sapiens (human). Its description in RNAcentral is "HSALNT0038711". Lineage: Eukaryota; Metazoa; Chordata; Mammalia; Primates; Hominidae. The record is from RNAcentral.